UGUGACAGAAUAGUGUGAUAAAUUUAAGAUUUAUUAAUAAAGAUCCUCUUUCUUUAGAA
Molecule: transfer RNA, 59 nt
Filed under: Lobatang sp. BM0162
Lineage: Eukaryota; Metazoa; Arthropoda; Insecta; Coleoptera; Lycidae
Also listed under: 5 other names
Description: tRNA-Leu
Source: RNAcentral